GUGCCAGCCGCCGCGGUAAGACGAAGGUGGCUAGCGUUGCUCGGAUUUACUGGGCAUAAAGCGCGCGUAGGUGGUCCUGUAAGCGAGAGAUGAAAGCCCAUGGCUCACCCAUGGAACUGUCCCUCGGACUGCAGGGCUGGAGGGCGGGAGGGGAGAAUGGAAUUCCCGGUGUAGCGGUGAAAUGCGUAGAUAUCGGGAGGAACGCCGGUGGCGAAAGCGAUUCUCUGGCCCGUUCCUGACACUGAUGCGCGAAAGCUAGGGGAGCAAACAGGAUUAGAUACCCGCGUAGUCC
Molecule: ribosomal RNA, 292 nt
Filed under: uncultured bacterium
Lineage: Bacteria
Description: partial 16S ribosomal RNA
Rfam family: Bacterial small subunit ribosomal RNA
Source: RNAcentral